This 387-nucleotide ribosomal RNA is filed under the name unidentified archaeon. Its description in RNAcentral is "bacterial SSU rRNA". It matches the Rfam family "Archaeal small subunit ribosomal RNA", at positions 90 to 461 of the family's 1478-position model. The record is from RNAcentral.
UCAGUAACACGUAGGUCAACAUGCCCACAGUGUGACCGUGGACUAACCUCGUGGAAACUGACGGACUAAACCGCGAUACAGUCACUACUUCUGGAAUGGGUAAUGACUCAAAUCUAUAUGGCCCCUGGAUUGGACUGCGGCCUGAUCAGUGCUGUUGGUGAGGUAAUGGCCCACCAAACCUGUAACCUGGUACGGGCUCUGAGAGGAGGAGCCCGGAGAUGGGCACUGAGACAAGGGCCCAGUGCCCUAUGGGGCGCAGCAGGCGCGAAACCUCUGCAAUAGGCGAAAGCUUGACAGUGGUUACUCUGAGUGAUUUCCGUUAAGGAGAUCUUUUGGCACCUCUAAAAAUGGUAGCAGAAUAAGUGGGUGGGCAAAGUCUGGUGCCAG